GUGCUCGCUUCAGCAGCACAUAUAUACUAAAAUUGGAAUGAUACAGAGAAGAUUAGCAUGGCCCCUGUGCAAAGGUGACACGCAAAUUCGUGAAGCAUUCCACAUUUUU
This is a small nuclear RNA of Cercocebus atys (sooty mangabey), 109 nucleotides long. The record is from Ensembl. Lineage: Eukaryota; Metazoa; Chordata; Mammalia; Primates; Cercopithecidae.